This is a long non-coding RNA of Juglans regia (Persian walnut), 2769 nucleotides long. RefSeq lists it as uncharacterized. Lineage: Eukaryota; Viridiplantae; Streptophyta; Magnoliopsida; Fagales; Juglandaceae. The record is from RefSeq and is a predicted model, not a curated record. The transcript has 2 exons.
CCUAUAGUUGAAUUGUUUAGAAGUAUAAAACCGGUCGCACUGCUACGAUCCCAAAUUCAUCCCUAACCCCAACACUGCAAACAGUUUUAAAAUUAAAUCCCUUUAUUUUCAAUAUUUUCCCACUCUUUCCUCUUUUUCGUUCUCCCCCUUCGUGCCGCCUCCUGUCCCUCUCCCUCUCCCGAUUCCUUUCCCCUUCACAGCCCUUGCUGCCGCAACCAGCCUCCAGCCGCGCCGCCCUCACCGGUGAGCUUCUCUCCCUUUGAUGACCUCCCUCCGACGACCCCUCUCCCUUCCCUUCUCGGUAUCUCUCUAUUUCCCUUUUUCUCUCUCGGUAGCCCUAGUGACACAGUACGCCGCCACUGUGAACAGCCAGCGUAACCACCACGAGCACACCGUUGCCGGCCACCACCAAUCACGACUGCCUCACUCGUAGAUCUUCUCCCUCUGCCACCGAUGAAGAGAACAGGUGUCAGCCUGGUUUUAAAAAUAGGGAGUAGGGUUUUAGCUUUGCUGCUUCCAUUGCUUGUUCUCUCUCGCAUCUCCGUAGCUCCUCUUCCAACAAAAUAACGCUCGAACUACAGUGAGCAACAACAGGGAUAACUUCUGCAUGUCCGAUCUCAACGCCAGUAUUCUCUAAUUCCUUAAAACCCAAAUCUCUCGCUGUUGUCGAUCUUAUUUGCUAAUCUAUUUUUUCCUUUUAGUUUAAUUUUUCUGUGCGUUGCUCUCAACCAGAGGAUCGAGCAGGCCUUGUUUUUCUUUUUCGCAGCUUGCAGUUUGGUUUUUGUAUGUCAUAGCACAGCACCGUCACUUCUUUAGAUCUUCAUGAAUUUUCAGUAGCUUUUUCUUGAGAUUGUAGCAAUUCUUGUUUCGGUGAUGGAGGAAGCUGUACCGCUUUGUGGCUGCACUUGAAGACAUUUAAUUCUUGAAUAAACACCAUUAAUCUCGUGUUUAAUUGCGCAGAAUUGUAUUUUGUUAGAAUUUCAGAAUUGUGGAACUUGAAUAUGAAUCUUCCUACUAGAAUUUCAUCAUAAAAUUGGGUAAAAUUAAGAAGUUUAAGAGAGAUUGCUUGUUUUAAUUAAUAAUUCGUUUGCGUCUUGUGUUGGCAUCAGUUACAUCUUCAGGAGAUUGUGCCAUUAAAUGCUGGGAAUAUCUUUUAGUGAUCCCCCAUCUCCAUCAAAAUUUAAUCCAUCUGAUGAUAUCCCAGAUAUAGAAUGGGAUAAGAUUGAACGUCUUGUCUUUCAAAAACUUCUUUAUUAUGCUGCCACAUAUUCUGUGUUUUAAUUGGGUGAAAAAUCCAGACUAUGAUCGGGUAUGUAAAGUAGUAUUCAUAAACUUCUUUAUUAUGCUGCCACAUAUUCUGUAUUUUAAUUGUGUUGUCUUGAAAAUUGCAAUUUUUUUAUGUUCCAAUUGUGUUUGUUUUUGUGAAGGUUGACUGGAUAAACAAGUUUCUUGAGUAUAUGUGACCAUAUCUUGACAAGGUCAAACUGCUCCUGAAUUUCAUUUGAUCUAUUUUUAGGGUAUAGAUUUAACUGCUUCUAUAUAUCUCUUCAUAAGUAUUUGAUGCUCUUUAUUUUCUUAUAGGCAAUUUGCAUGACUGCAAGGAACAUUGCAAAGCCUAUAAUUGCUGUUAAAAUGUACUACAAAUCCUAAUAUCACUGUUUCUGUUAAAGCAUUUGGGUUGAAAGCAACUGUACAGGUGAUUGGUUUGUUUUACUCAGUGAGGAAGAUUUUGUGAUAUGAAAGAAAGGGAGGGAGGGAGGGAGCUGAUUCUAAAUAUUGUUCAGUUGGGAUGAUUUCAUGUGGGGGAUUUGCCAAGUGUUUGCUGCACCACGUAUCACCUUGAAGCCAUUGGUUCCAACCUUUCCUUGUUUUGCCAAAAUCUAUGUGUCUCUCAUGGACAAGGUAUUUGGCAUAGGAGAAAUAGAGCAGUGUUUGAGGACAGAUUUGAUGGUCCUGGUCUGGUAAUCAAAAAAGCAGCUAUGAUGUUAGAAGGGUUCCAGGAAGCUGAAGGAAUUCUGAGUGGGCAGAAACAGAUUGCUGGUACAAGUAGAGCAAAUACAAAGUGGCUGGAGGCUCUUGAACAAGUGACAGAAAUUAAUUUUGAUGCUUCAGUGGAUAAAGUUGGUAAGAAAAUGGGGAUGGGGGAGGUGGCAAGGAACCAUGAAGGGGAGUUAAUGUUUUCUAUAUGUGCUGCAAGAUGAUUUGUGGGUGAUGUUGAGGUAGCUGAAGUAAAAGCUUUGUGGAAGGCCAUGGAGAUGGCUACUGUGCUGAAUUUGUAGAAGGUCUGUUUCAGAGGGGAUGCACACAAGGUGAUUAAAGUUGUGAGGAGCAAGGAAAUAUGCAAUGGGUGGAUGGAGCAGCUGGUGUUUGACAUAAAAGAAGUGCUGUCACAUAGGCCUAAUUGGUCUGUUAACUUCAUUUACAGAGAAGGAAACCAGAUUGCAGAUCAAUUGGCAAAAGAGCAUUGAGAAGAGAUGAGGAAUCUUACUGGAUGGAAGAUGGACCUGCUGAACUUAUGUAUCUAGUAGAGCAAGAGAAACCAUGUAUUGAGCAAGGCUCAGAUUUAUUAAUUGGGAGGACUAAAAGGAAAGGAACUGCACAAAUUUCGUACGGGGAAAAAAAAAAAAAAACUUUCGUGGCAUAUUGCUAUAUUAGUAUGUGGGAUUCUGAAUUCUUUGGGGUCUAUUGGGUUAAAAAAACAAUUGGCGGGUUUAUGCCCCGUCGGCCGUUAAAAUUUGGUACUCAAUAUAUAGCCCCAAUUUCGAGUGC